RNAcentral lists this ribosomal RNA (253 nucleotides) under uncultured Lachnospiraceae bacterium. Its description in RNAcentral is "partial 16S ribosomal RNA". It matches the Rfam family "Bacterial small subunit ribosomal RNA", at positions 524 to 776 of the family's 1533-position model. Lineage: Bacteria; Bacillati; Bacillota; Clostridia; Lachnospirales; Lachnospiraceae. The record is from RNAcentral.
UACGUAGGGGGCAAGCGUUAUCCGGAUUUACUGGGUGUAAAGGGAGCGUAGACGGCGGUGCAAGCCAGAUGUGAAAGCCCGGGGCUCAACCCCGGGACUGCAUUUGGAACUGUAGUUCUUGAGUGAUGGAGAGGCAGGCGGAAUUCCGUGUGUAGCGGUGAAAUGCGUAGAUAUACGGAGGAACACCAGUGGCGAAGGCGGCUUACUGGACUGUAACUGACGUUGAGGCUCGAAAGCGUGGGGAGCAAACAGG